AGCUUCUUGUUUUUUAUAAGAAGUGAUGCCUGCCCAAUGAUUUUUUAAUGGCCGCGGUAUUUUGACCGUGCUAAGGUAGCAUAAUAAUUUGUUUUUUAAAUAAAAACUAGUAUGAAUGGCUUUUCAUUUUCUAACUGUCUCUCAUUAUUCUCUUUUAAAUUUCUAUUUCUGUGAAGAAGCAGAAAUAUCUUAGUAAGACGAGAAGACCCUAUCGAGCUUUAGCUAAUAAAAUUAAACUAAAAUUAUUUUUAAGCUUUGGUUGGGGCAACCAUGGAGAAAAUAAACCUCCAGACCUAAAAGAAGAAAUUUUUUCUCUUUUAAUUUAUUGAACCAAUUUUUUGGAAAACAGAAAUAGUUACCGUAGGGAUAACAGCGUAAUCUUCUUUAAGAGCCCUUAUUGACAAGAAGGUUUGCGACCUCGAUGUUGGAUUGGGGCACCCAAAAAGUGCAGACGCUUUUUAAGGUUGGACUGUUCGUCCAUUAAAGCCCU
RNAcentral lists this ribosomal RNA (490 nucleotides) under Protelpidia murrayi. RNAcentral's name for it is "partial 16S ribosomal RNA". It matches the Rfam family "Bacterial large subunit ribosomal RNA", at positions 1817 to 2597 of the family's 2925-position model. Lineage: Eukaryota; Metazoa; Echinodermata; Holothuroidea; Elasipodida; Elpidiidae. The record is from RNAcentral.